CGGUGUGCUUGCGCUCGUGGCUCGUGGUUACGGUCGUCGUCGGUGCGGUUCCUUGAGGUCUCGAGCGUCGGCAGCCUGCGGCGGCAGGCGCGCUUCCCAGCCACGGGCGUGGAGGGUGGCGUCGUGCGGCGUUACCUCCGGCUCACAGGUACCGUAGCGGGCUCCAAUGGAGGGUCAGCGGCAAGAGGAAGAUUAAGCAGCCCUAGGCCGACCUAAGCCUGUGCUCGCGGGACAAGUCUGGAAGGGCGGAGCGAACCCAGCAGCCGGUGUAGCUGCUGCAGUAUGGCGAGUGCCCUAGGUCGAUUUGGCGACCGACCGGUGAAGGGGCGGAUGUGCUCUGCGGGGGUGUAGUCGCGGAGAAGUUGCUCGUUGUCGUCGCUUGCGGAGCGCUUCCCACAGAGACCACCACAGAAAAAGAAGAUUUAGCAAAAUUUCUUCAAACGGUCUAGACACGGUCUUUUUGUUACCGCUACUUGAUACUAACUACAGGACGCUUCCGAUCUAGCCGCGAACUACACCACCGUCUUAUAGAGGCCCGUUUGAUCAUCCGAUCUAGAUCUUUCUUUUAGACAUUUCAAA
RNAcentral lists this ribosomal RNA (579 nucleotides) under Triticum aestivum (bread wheat). Its description in RNAcentral is "partial small subunit ribosomal RNA". The record is from RNAcentral. Lineage: Eukaryota; Viridiplantae; Streptophyta; Magnoliopsida; Poales; Poaceae.